Molecule: unclassified non-coding RNA, 343 nt
Filed under: soil metagenome
Description: partial contains 5.8S ribosomal RNA, internal transcribed spacer 2, and large subunit ribosomal RNA
Rfam family: 5.8S ribosomal RNA (bases 1-120)
Source: RNAcentral
GAUGAAGAACGUAGCGAAAUGCGAUAAGUAAUGUGAAUUGCAGAAUUCAGUGAAUCAUCGAAUCUUUGAACGCACAUUGCGCCCGCUAGUAUUCUGGCGGGCAUGCCUGUCCGAGCGUCAUUUCAACCCUCAAGCCCCCGGGCUUGGUGUUGGGGAUCGGCGAGCCUCCGCGCCCGCCGUCCCCUAAAUCUAGUGGCGGUCUCGCUGUAGCUUCCUCUGCGUAGUAGCACACCUCGCACUGGGAAACAGCGCGGCCACGCCGUUAAACCCCCAACUUCUGAACGUUGGACCUCGGAUCAGGUAGGAAUACCCGCUGAACUUAAGCAUAUCAAUAAGCGGAGGA